CUACGUGCCAGCAGCCGCGGUAAUACGUAGGGUGCGAGCGUUAAUCGGAAUUACUGGGCGUAAAGCGGGCGCAGACGGUUACUUAAGCAGGAUGUGAAAUCCCCGGGCUUAACCUGGGAACUGCGUUCUGAACUGGGUGACUAGAGUGUGUCAGAGGGAGGUAGAAUUCCACGUGUAGCAGUGAAAUGCGUAGAGAUGUGGAGGAAUACCGAUGGCGAAGGCAGCCUCCUGGGAUAACACUGACGUUCAUGCCCGAAAGCGUGGGUAGCAAACAGGAUUAGAUACCCUGGUAGUCCACGCCCUAAACGAUGUCGAUUAGCUGUUGGGCAGCAUGACUGCUUAGUAGCGAAGCUAACGCGUGAAAUCGACCGCCUGGGGAGUACGGUCGCAAGAUUAAAACUCAAAGGAAUUGACGGGGACCCGCACAAGCGGUGGAUGAUGUGGAUUAAUUCGAUGCAACGCGAAGAACCUUACCKGUCUUGACAU
This 486-nucleotide ribosomal RNA is filed under the name uncultured bacterium. Its description in RNAcentral is "bacterial SSU rRNA". It matches the Rfam family "Bacterial small subunit ribosomal RNA", at positions 501 to 987 of the family's 1533-position model. The record is from RNAcentral.